AGAGUUUGAUCCUGGCUCAGAAUCAACGCUGGCGGCGNNCUUAACACAUGCAAGUCGCACGAGAAAGCAGGAGCAAUCUUGUGAGUACAGUGGCGUACGGGUGAGUAACACGUGGGUAAUCUACCUCUUAGUGGGGAAUAACGCUGGGAAACCGGCGCUAAUACCGCAUAAUCUCGGGAGAGGAAAGCAGCAAUGCGCUGAGAGAGGAGCCCGCGGCCGAUUAGCUAGUUGGGAGGGUAAAAGCCUACCAAGGCAUAGAUCGGUAGCCGGCCUGAGAGGGCACACGGCCACACUGGCACUGAAACACGGGCCAGACUCCUACGGGAGGCAGCAGUGGGGAAUCUUGCACAAUGGGGGAAACCCUGAUGCAGCGACGCCGCGUGAGCGAUGAAGCCCUUCGGGGUGUAAAGCUCUUUCGUCAGGGACGAUAAUGACGGUACCUGGAGAAGCAGCUGCGGCUAACUACGUGCCAGCAGCCGCGGUAAUACGUAGGCAGCGAGCGUUGUUCGGAGUUACUGGGCGUAAAGGGUGUGUAGGCGGUUUUCUAAGUUUGGUGUGAAAUCUCCCGGCUCAACCGGGAGGGUGCGCCGAAAACUGGGAGACUAGAGUGCGGGAUGGGAGAGUAGAAUUCCUGGUGUAGCGGUGAAAUGCGUAGAUAUCAGGAGGAAUACCGGUGGUGUAGACGGCUCUCUGGACCGCCACUGACGCUGAGACACGAAAGCGUGGGUAGCAAACAGGAUUAGAUACCCUAGUAGUCC
Molecule: ribosomal RNA, 758 nt
Filed under: uncultured bacterium
Lineage: Bacteria
Description: bacterial SSU rRNA
Rfam family: Bacterial small subunit ribosomal RNA
Source: RNAcentral